Molecule: small nucleolar RNA, 139 nt
Organism: Juglans microcarpa x Juglans regia
Lineage: Eukaryota; Viridiplantae; Streptophyta; Magnoliopsida; Fagales; Juglandaceae
Product: small nucleolar RNA Z247
Exons: 1
Source: RefSeq, a predicted model, not a curated record
UCCCUCAGCUGUGACGAAAUUGUCACCUACAUUCUUGCUGGUCUUGGUCAUGAUUAUGACCACUUUGUUACUACCAUUUCUGCGCGCAAAGACCCUGUCACUCUGGAGGAAGUUUACUCUCUUCUUCUCAUUACAGAGU